UGGUAGUGUAUUGGACAACCAUGGCAGUCACGGGUAACGGAGAAUUAGGGUUCGAUUCCGGAGAGGGAGCCUGAGAAACGGCUACCACAUCUACGGAAGGCAGCAGGAGCGAAAAUUGCCCAAUCCCGACACGGGGAGGCAGUGACGAGAAAUAACAACUCUUGGUUAUUCUAAGAAGUGUAAUGAGGAUAAUUUAAAACCCUUACCGAAAGCAAUUGGAGGGCAAGUCUGGUGCCAGCAGCUGCGGUAAUUCCAGCUCCAAUAGCGUAUAUUAAAGUUGUUGCAGUUAAAAAGCUCGUAGUUGAAGUUCUGGCUGUUCGAUCCUCGAGCUCUGUAGCCGAGGACUCGACAGUCAUCCGCUUGCAAAUAUCGUUCGCCUUUAAACGGGUGGCUAUAUGAGUAAGCAAUUUACCUUGAGAAAAACAGAGUGUUCCAGGCAGGUUUGUCCGGAAUGCAUUAGCAUGGAAUAAUAGAAUAUGACUGAAGUCGAUUUAUUGGUUUGAGGCUUUAGUAAUGAUAAAUAGGAACAGUCGGGGGCAUUGGUACUUGUCAGUCAGAGGUGAAAUUCUAGGAUUUGACAAAGACUAACAAAUGCGAAAGCAUUUGCCAAGGAUGUUUUCAUUAAUCAAGAACGAAAGUUAAGGGAUCAAAGACGAUCAGA
Molecule: ribosomal RNA, 661 nt
Filed under: uncultured ciliate
Lineage: Eukaryota; Ciliophora
Description: SSU rRNA
Rfam family: Eukaryotic small subunit ribosomal RNA
Source: RNAcentral